GAUGAACGCUGGCGGCGUGCCUAAUACAUGCAAGUCGAGCGAACAGACGAGGAUCUUGCUCCUCUGACGUUAGCGGCGGACGGGUGAGUAACACGUGGAUAACCUACCUAUAAGACUGGGAUAACUUCGGGAAACCGGAUCUAAUACCGGAUAAUAUAUUGAACCGCAUGGUUCAAUAGUGAAAGACGGUUUUGCUGUCACUUAUAGAUGUAUCCGCGCCGCAUUAGCUAGUUGGUAAGGUAACGGCUUACCAAGGCGACGAUGCGUAGCCGACCUGAGAGGGUGAUCGGCCACACUGGAACUGAGACACGGUCCAGACUCCUACGGGAGGCAGCAGUAGGGAAUCUUCCGCAAUGGGCGAAAGCCUGACGGAGCAACGCCGCGUGAGUGAUGAAGGUCUUCGGAUCGUAAAACUCUGUUAUUAGGGAAGAACAAAUGUGUAAGUAACUAUGCACGUCUUGACGGUACCUAAUCAGAAAGCCACGGCUAACUACGUG
This 497-nucleotide ribosomal RNA is filed under the name uncultured bacterium. Its description in RNAcentral is "partial 16S ribosomal RNA". It matches the Rfam family "Bacterial small subunit ribosomal RNA", at positions 28 to 507 of the family's 1533-position model. The record is from RNAcentral.